This 460-nucleotide ribosomal RNA is filed under the name uncultured bacterium. RNAcentral describes it as "partial 16S ribosomal RNA". It matches the Rfam family "Bacterial small subunit ribosomal RNA", at positions 338 to 795 of the family's 1533-position model. The record is from RNAcentral.
CCUACGGGGGGCUGCAGUGAGGAAUAUUGGUCAAUGGACGAGAGUUUGAACCAGCCAAGUAGCGUGAAGGAUGACUGCCCUAUGGGUUGUAAACUUCUUUUAUAAAGGAAUAAAGUGAGGCACGUGUGCCUUUUUGUAUGUACUUUAUGAAUAAGGAUCGGCUAACUCCGUGCCAGCAGCCGCGGUAAUACGGAGGAUCCGAGCGUUAUCCGGAUUUAUUGGGUUUAAAGGGAGCGUAGAUGGGUUGUUAAGUCAGUUGUGAAAGUUUGCGGCUCAACCGUAAAAUUGCAAUUGAUACUGGCAGUCUUGAGUACAGUUGAGGUAGGCGGAAUGCGUGGUGUAGCGGUGAAAUGCAUAGAUAUCACGCAGAACUCCGAUUGCGAAGGCAGCAUACCGGCGCCCGACUGACGCUGAGGCACGAAAGCGUGGGGAUCGAACAGGAUUAGAUACCCUUGUAGUC